UGCACUAGACAGCUGCUUCGUCCAUAAUAACACACCAACAUUUAUUAUUUUUUUGAUUCUUUUUAUAAAUCAGCAUGUAGAAAGUAAGCUGUUAAAAACUAAAAUUGAAAUAUCCGAGUAAAUCACAGUUAUUUUAAAAUGUACAGCACUCGAGUACUUAUCUUGAAUCAAUAUCCAUCUCUGAUAACUGUUAACAUCAUUAUUUCUGAUGUGACGUAAAACCUUUAUUUUGUUGCCAUUGUUUGACAGCACCGCACAUACAUAUUAACGUACAACACAGUUUGUUUACUCAUUUGUUGUGCUUUUAUUAUAUUGUAAAAUCACAUUUUUUUUAACCUCAAGUUUUCCUAAAGCUUGACAGGAUCACAUACAUUUAUAUGAUGUAUAUGCUUUGGGCACAAGUAGAAAUAACAUUUUAUUUAAACACUGUCAUCCACUUUCUGUCUCUCAGAUUUAUUGCAAUUUCAAAUUUAGGUUCAGAUAAUUGUAGGAUGAAAGGCAGUGUUUCCCUGAAGAAGCCAACUAAACCGUGGAUAAACCCGUUUCAGGCCUACUAUUAACAUUAAAAUGGCAGCCAGUGCAUCUACAAUCAUAACUCUGAGGCCAUAUAUGUGAAGUGUAGACAAAGGAUAAGGAAGAAAGAAAUUCAGACAAAUGUGUACAGACUCUGUUUAUAAACCCUUCAAACACAAGGAGGCUGUUUGUGGCAGUUUGUUCUCACACGUUCAGGUUUUCUCCCCCAUUUCUGUCACUCUGACCCCGCCACCUCCUUCUUCUCCUUCUCUUCCUCGACCCGCCCUAUAAACACAAGACGAGCUGCGAUUGGUCAAAGAUUCCGCUCCAGUGUGCGAUGGUCGAGAAGGGGGCGCGAAGUUUGAGCCAAUUAGGAGUUGUGAAACCAGAGCGACAGAACGAAACACCAGUGAGCUUAGGGGUACCUCACUGUGGGCGGGAAUACACGCAGGAGUAUGGGAUGGGAGAGUUGACGAAGAACAGAAAUGGCAGUUAGAGUGUGAUAUUUGAUUAACCCGACAGGGAAGAACUUCAGCACAGUUCUAACACACAUUCCCCCAGUGUGACCGUAAACGGGGCCUGCUUUUAGGCGUUUACCCCACAAUUCAUGCUGGCACUAAAAUCAGUACCAUGGACAGAGGCAGCUGCGGACGCACAGACCCGUUACGCAGCUUUUUUCCUUCCUGUCGACGCCGACGCGCUGAUUAAUAAACCUAUAUCAGAAGCUGUGGUUCUGUGCAGAGCGCUGAUUCCCUCCCCCACCGGACACGGCUGCUGCUCUUCAUUUCACGGCUCAGCGCCGGGACUCUCCAAGUCUGCUGCCUGCGCCCGGUUCUGAGUCCCAGCUGGUCCGGUUCCUAAAGGCCCGCUCGGCCCAGGCUGUGGGUUUUCCUAAAAGUAACCCCAACUAGUUAAUAGCCCUACUUCAUCAAACCGUUUAAAACCGUGAGAGUUUUUAUACAUAUGUUUCAGUAAGAAUUUUGCUUUUAUUCAUUAAAUGUAAAUGUAACAUUUUAUUUCAUUUUGCUUGGUCAUAAACACUGUGGAAUAACAUCCGGUUGAAAUGUGGCUGAAGUAACAUAAUUAUGAUGAUUUUUGAUCCUGUGUAAAUUUAAAGGUGCAGUUCAUGAGUGUCACCGUCUGUGGUUCUGCUGUUAGUGUUGGAUGAGGAGCUUGUUUAAGGCCUGUGUGAUGUGUUCUGUUGAGGAGGCUGACAUAGCUGUUCAGCCGAGAUCAAGCAGACUUGAUAUCGACCAGUGCUUGUUAGCAACAGAAAAAGCUGAAUGUGUGUGGUUCCGCAAGCAGCCGCAGGGUCCACAGUUAAGUGUGUCCCGGCUUCAGCACAGGCUCCAUCACUGGAGUGCUGCUCUGACAUUUUUAUCCCGAACGGGCGGAUGGUGAACGCGCGGUGCAGCGGAGCCGAGGCCAAGAAUGUAUCCGUCACUGUUGAUGAAAAGAUACUCUGACAUUUGUAAGGAUUGUGUCUUUGGGCUUAUGAGACGCUGACAUAAAUGUCAGCCAAGCGCAGUCAGAGAGCUGGCAGCGGAGAUCAGAGCCGAGAACACGCCGAAGUCCCCAACUUCAAAACACAGCAUCAGCCCCAUUACAGCAACAGCUGCUCUGUGGUUCAGCGCAGCACCUACUGCUUCCUGCACCAGGCUCGGAGGUGUUCGACCCAGAAUAUGAGCCACGUGUGUGCAGAUUCUGGACUACAGCAGAUGAAUUACCAGGCGGUUGCUCAUGGGCUCAGGUCACUCUGCCGAGGCCCAGCAAGUAGCAUUAGGACGUCAACAUGUCGCCUGCAGUUCCAGAAGAAAAGUCUAUUCUCCAAAGAGACUCACAACUACUACAAGUGACACACAACUACCGUAACGACAACAAAACACAAUGGUGCAACUGCUGCUCUGAUCCUGUGGAUCCUCACUCUCUGGUUCUAAGUUUGAGGAUUUAAUACGAAUAAAUUAUUAAUCGGUGGAGUUUAAUCGUCUCAGUUUGAUUGUUGUAAACUCCCAUCAGCAUUUGCCAAACCACUUCAGAUU
This is a long non-coding RNA of Betta splendens (Siamese fighting fish), 2552 nucleotides long. RefSeq lists it as uncharacterized. The record is from RefSeq and is a predicted model, not a curated record. Lineage: Eukaryota; Metazoa; Chordata; Actinopteri; Anabantiformes; Osphronemidae. The transcript is spliced from 3 exons.